AGCUUUGCACAGUGGCAGUAUCCUAGCCAAUGAGGUUUAUCUGAGGCGCGAUUAUUGCUAAUUGAAAACAAAAGAAGAAUAACAAUAUAUAGUAGAAAGUUUAAUUUGGAAAAAAGGGUUUAUUCU
RNAcentral lists this small nuclear RNA (126 nucleotides) under Mustela putorius furo (domestic ferret). Its description in RNAcentral is "U4 spliceosomal RNA". It matches the Rfam family "U4 spliceosomal RNA". From Rfam's summary of the family: U4 small nuclear RNA (U4 snRNA) is a component of the major U2-dependent spliceosome. The structure of U4 snRNA from yeast and human has been reported. U4 snRNA presents a k-turn RNA motif in the 5p-SL related to recognition of Snu13 protein. The record is from Rfam by way of RNAcentral. Lineage: Eukaryota; Metazoa; Chordata; Mammalia; Carnivora; Mustelidae.